This is an RNA transcript of Alligator mississippiensis (American alligator), 5347 nucleotides long. It is a transcript of the gene named potassium inwardly rectifying channel subfamily J member 16, with no coding region annotated. The record is from RefSeq and is a predicted model, not a curated record. NCBI's taxonomy places the organism in Eukaryota, Metazoa, Chordata, Crocodylia, Alligatoridae. The transcript is spliced from 4 exons.
UUCAUUAACUACUCCUGGAGCAUGAGGACAGUGCAGACAAAUGCCCAACAAGCACUGCUAAUGGUCUACGAGAGGUCCAUAAGCGGUUCUGCUCUUCUCUGCAAUCGUUUUGCAUCUACCAAAUUAGUUUUGAUUACCAUAUACUGGGUAAUUUAGCCCAUCUGAUAGGCGAGGACAAACAUUGGGGCUGCCCUCUGGACAUUUCCAGCUUGCUUUAGGACUAGCACUGGGAACCAAAAGACUCCCUGGGCACAAAAAUAGACAGCAAAAAAAGAAAAGUAAAGUGCUAUCGUCCUAUGGCCUUGUUUCAGCAAGUAACUUUGAACUGCCCCCUGCAUGUAAAUAUUUGAAGUCUCACUUGUAUUCGGGAGGGUGUUUUCUACACAGAAUAUUUUUCUGCUUUGUGCUGUUGAAAUCCUAGCCUGGAUGUGCCUGAGUGACUUCAGCAAGCGUCUGAGUUUCAGACCGGGAAUAGUGCAGCUGCAGACACUCAAAAAACUUGCUCUUGGAAGAGUGAACAAAGGAGCAUUGUGCCAACACCCACCAAGCAGGGCCUGGAUCCUUGUACAGCACACUUGGCUUCAGAGGAGCCUUGCACUUUCCUCUCAUUUUAUUCGGUGUCGAGGAUUUGGGCAUUAGCUCAAAUAAUAUCAGAGGAUCAAAGCCAACUUUGAAAGUAUUAGGGAGAUUACAAAGCCAAGGCUGGAUUCUGCCUGCAUGUGGAGUAGCCCCAGGAAAGGCAUUCCCCGGCAAUCCCCGAUGCAGAGUGCCUGCUACCGCAGCUCGUCUGUGCAGGACUGCAGCUCCUCCGAGCACCGACUGCAGUUCUUCUUGAACCCUGCAUGCAUGAAAACCAAGUGAAAAAUCCUUAUUCCCUCCCUUCCCCGCAACACGAAAGCACCAAGAUAAGGACCAAGCAGAAUCUGGCCCCAAAGUGCCGAGCAGAAAGGAAGCUGAACAACCCAGAAAUAUGAGUGCGGAGGAAAGGGAAAGGUGACCUUUAUUUACUGAAGUUGAUUUCCUCGCAGUCCAUGGUUUUCUCUCACCCCAGAGCCCUUUCGUGACCUUUACAAGACCCGGUGCAGAUAAUCAAUCAAAUGGAUCCCAAGGAGUUCACUGAAAAGUUUUGACCCACUGGGUUUGGUUAGGUGGUGAGCGAAGGCCUAUUUGUUUCAUCCGCUUGACUCCUCAUCUGUACAGGAGCUGCAUUUGAUCAGAAUCGACCGCAUCUCAAAAGCAGCCAAGGAAAAAGCAUUCAAAUUCCUUGUCCUCUCAUCAUCUCUCCCACCAUCACCAUGCUGCUUGGGUGAACAUAUGUCCCAUACAACCCAGGCAGCCCAAGCUACUGAUAUGGUGCUAGACUUACAAAAGCACAUUGGAUGCAGAUCCUUAGCCUACCCCACUGAAGGCAAUAAUAGACCCAUUUUCCUCUCUCCCAGACAGAUUUGUGGUACGUCUCUUAAUGAAGCUAUUGACAUUUGUGACAAGGUAAGGUUUUCAUCUCUCUUUAGCAAUAAGAAAAGAUCUGGACUGUAAUGAUCACUAUGCAUACUGGGUUGAUAUACCUGCUUCUUUGGAAAAGGACAAUAAUGGAUAUUUUAAAUUACUUUAAAGCCCUGGAGUAUAAGCAGCUUCUUAGAACAAUAUUAUUCUCUUACAGAUUGGACACCGAGGCGGAUUUGAUUAAUUUUUUAAAGGAAACAAGUAUUUUUUUUAAACAAUUUUUGUUUUUUUUAAGAAAACAGAAACAUGCCUCUUCUUCUGUUUAAAACCCUGAUGUUUUUCAGCCUAGCUCCAACAGGUAUUAAUUGUAUUCUGCAGGUGACAAGAGUGACCUAAAAGGCAGAGGCCAUGGACAGCAAUAGUCUGUACAGCAAUUUCUGAUGGGAUCUGGUAGAUGGAGGAUCAGGUUUUGCACAGAACAACAUUAGUCGUAGUUCAGAUCCCGGGGUCAAGGUGUAAUGUAGCAUUGAAUACAGUAGAUACAGGUCCACAAAUGGAAAAUGAAUUAGAAAGAGAAUUGCAGUGCGGACACUGCAAUGCAAUGAAACAGCAUAGGGUUUGAACUCCGAUUUGUUUCACUCCUGAACCAAUUUUUGGCCCCAACAGAAUCAAGUAUUGUAGCAAAAAAUUGAACAAAUCAAUCAAUCAAUCAGUAGAAGCAGGAUCUGACCUCAUAAACAAGAUGUAUUUAAAAUGCAAAUAAUUUUGCUUUUGGGGACCGUCAAGUAUCCCACAUGCGAGUGAACCUGCCCAAGCUGAAACAACUACAGAAAACUAAGUAGCAGCCCUGCAGAUGGUACAGGGAAGCAAAGGGCCACGCGUACUGCCUUCAUCUUGCACAGAAAACAGAGCGAUUGCUGUAUAUUUCCAUCACGGUUUGGUGUUUAUUCUCUCCCCAACCACUCCCUUUCCCACUGGAACUUGUCCGCGUGUUUGCCCACAAUAACAUAUUCAUGUAAUGAGAGAGGCCAAUGCAGACUCCCAAUACCUCAGACCUUUCCAAUCAAGAAGAAUUGCAGAGCUUUUGGCGAGGUGAUGCAGGGCAGGAGGGGGGGGGGAAAGUCUCUUUACCUGCAAGACUUCCUACCCUUGAAGAUCUUGUCCCCAUGUAUAAAGAUCAACCAAACAAGCUGCAAGAAAUCACACUGCAAUCUCCGAACAUCUCAAUCAUGCCAGAGAUGUUGGCAUUGCACCCCUAUCUCCUCAUUUUGACUGCUUUCCGAGCUGUUGUACUGCAUGUGGCUCAGCUAGAAUGAACUAGCGAGAUCCUUUGGUAGGAAGCUCACCAACCAGCAUCCGAAGGUCUACUCACUUGAUGGCCUUUCUGUUUGUAUUCAGUAUUUACAUAAUAAUAAUAAUAAUAAUAAUAAUAAUAAUAAUAAUAAAAAAAGACUCUUACCCUGGGCUGUUCCACUGGGCAUGAACCUGUCAUUAUUUUACUAAAGGGUCUAAAUAAUGGAGGUUGUAAGGAAGAGAAUGAAAGUGUGGUCACACACUUCGCCGUGUUGAAAAUUGCUGGCUCUUAACCCUUUUCCUUCCAGGAAUUGUCAAGUUCCCUCUGCCAGCUCCAUGUGUUGUUCUCACCACUCGGGUGAGUGUUAUUAACCACUAACUCCCUUUCCCUUGAGAUAUACAAAGAAUGCAGAUUAGGAAACAUAAUUAGCCAACUUUGCGGUAAAUGGGAAAGUGUUAGUUUUUAUUAACCUUUAACAUGCUGGGCCCAGGUUUGCUUUACCCCAAGGUUUGUGACAUAGGCAAAGCAGUCAUCUUGUUGUAAAUAUGCACGAGGACCUCUCUGAACAGCGACUUUUUAAAGGGACCUUUCAUCCCAUCGCCCUGAUACUUUAGUCUUUCCAGCAACAGAGUGGAUUCAGGGGGAGAGAGGAUUCAGGGCUGUUAGCACCCCUGCAUUUAGCAGGGUUGGUCAAUUUGGUAGUAAAAGGCCUCCAGAUCCUACCUUUAUUGCUAUGGGAGCUGAACAUACGGUGAAUUAAAAUGUCCUAAAUUGCCAAUUCAGGCCCCUCAGUUGUGAUCAGAAUCAGGGAAGUAGGCAGGAGUGUAUCUUUCAAAACCGGAUUAAGAAAAAAAAUAGCAGAGAGAGUAGAUGAUCCCCCCAAAUCUCUUUCAACUCCAAAUGAUGCUCCAUAACCCUUAGGUAUGAAGGUAGCUGAGCCAACACGAAGGCAACAUCACUACUGAAUAAAGAACGUGUGGAUGUGCCGUCUGCCAUUCAGGGGAUUAUGCCAGGGACAGCCGUGGGAAAAAUGCAAGCUACAUACUGAAUGACACAACUUCCUUAAUUUUCUACAGGCUUGAUCCUCUCAGAUAAUGAGCAACUUCUGAGUGGAGAGGGAGCUCACUUCUAGGGGAAAGUAUUUCAGCUUUUCCUAGGAGCAAGAUCUAAAAUGUGUGGGUGCAAAUGGACUAUGGACAUCACGUAUCUGAUAGUUAUCGGGACAUAUUCCCUAUGCUAUUGAAAGGACAUUUCUGUUUAUCCUGUAUAUGGCCAUUGCGGGGAGGCUCAUGUUAGCCCUAGAUCUAUACCUCAUUAUUUCAAGUGUUCUUCAUCUGUUUGUUGAAAUCAGUCUGUUUUGCCCAGGUUUGGCAUGCAGAUGGAAGAAAGGCAAGGCUACAUUUUACUAUUCUAAAAUGAAAUGUUUGCAGCCUCAAAAAAAUCCAGGUCAUGAAGAGGAAAGAGCUAGAGCGAGAAAGAAACACUUUGUGAACUGCAGUAGGAAUAUUUACUUUCUCUCCAUUUUUGUCUGACGGACAGUCAAGAUAAAUACCCAGUCUGUCGGUGCCCGUGCGUGAGUUUAUUCAAUGUGCUUGCAAAAUAUGCAGUGAGUUUGUUCACUUUCUCAAGCACCUCAUCAAAAAUCUAUUUACCUGUACCUCCUGGUAUUUGUCAAUGGUUUUUACCUAUUUCUAUAGCUCUGGAGUCAUUAAAACCUGUAUUAUUUGACCUAUUUCUAUAGCUCUGGAGUCAUUAAAACCUGUAUUAUUUAACCUAUUUUUAUAGCUCUGGAGUCAUUAAAACUUCCACUUGUCACUCCUUGUGCAAUAUGUGCACAGAGGAACUGAUAUGAUAGUGAUAAUGUUGCACAAGUGUCUGGCUCUCAACUUCCCCUGCCUGACCUUUGGCCACGUGGCUUCUGCAGACACUGGGUUUUACUGCCGUCACUUUUUUACAGACUAAGUUGGGAAGACUCCCCACCACUUUUGGAGAAUGUGCCGCUCAGAUACGACACUCCUGCAAUGGAGAUGAAUGGCAAGAAAGAAUGAAACCCAUUCAAGGUCUUCUCAUAAAAACCUCUAAUGGGGUCUACGAGAGGGAACUAAGAGACAUGCCUGGUUACAAAUAUUUAUAAGCUUGUACAUGUAAGAUACAAUUCACGAGCAAAAAUUCACAUCUCUAAUGGAAAAAGAUGUCUAAUAGAGACAGCACUUAGAUACUUCUGGAUAAAACUAGCUAGACAGCUGCGUCACGUCAAAUUAGAAAAUCUUUUAUUGAAAGGAAAAGAUGCUCUCACCCUCAAGGGUUAAGUUUUCAACUGUACGUCAUCCUCUUCAUCCCAUCUUUCAAGCCCAGAUCAGUGCAACAGGAAAGGAUAUUUUAGAAACUUUUCAUGUAACUUCAACUUCCCUGUGCGUAAUGGUCGUUAUGGAAUUAUUUGUCUUUCUGCGACUCAUGCAAGCAAAACAUGAAUCUGUUAAUAGCAAGCCACAUUUCGUUGCUAAAGAAGAGCUCUUUGGGCAGAGCUGCCAAUUCCUUCAGAGAACGAAGACUUUUGCUACAAUAUAUGCGCUUUUCUCCAACCCAUUCAAUACAAAACAUUGAGUGGCC